Molecule: ribosomal RNA, 284 nt
Filed under: uncultured bacterium
Lineage: Bacteria
Description: partial 16S ribosomal RNA
Rfam family: Bacterial small subunit ribosomal RNA
Source: RNAcentral
UCCUACGGGAGGCAGCAGUCGAGAAUCAUUCACAAUGGGGGAAACCCUGAUGGUGCGACGCCGCGUGGGGGAAUGAAGGUCUUCGGAUUGUAAACCCCUGUCAUGUGGGAGCAAAUUAAAAAGAUAGUACCACAAGAGGAAGAGACGGCUAACUCUGUGCCAGCAGCCGCGGUAAUACAGAGGUCUCAAGCGUUGUUCGGAAUAACUGGGCGUAAAGGAUGCGUAGGCGGUUAAACAAGUUAUAUGUUAAAUAUAUAGGCUUAACCUGUAGAAAGCUUAUAAAA